RNAcentral lists this ribosomal RNA (401 nucleotides) under uncultured bacterium. RNAcentral's name for it is "bacterial SSU rRNA". It matches the Rfam family "Bacterial small subunit ribosomal RNA", at positions 359 to 777 of the family's 1533-position model. The record is from RNAcentral.
GAAUAUUGGACAAUGGGCGAAAGCCUGAUCCAGCAAUGCCGCGUGAGUGAUGAAGGCCUUAGGGUUGUAAAGCUCUUUUACCAGGGAUGAUAAUGACAGUACCUGGAGAAUAAGCUCCGGCUAACUCCGUGCCAGCAGCCGCGGUAAUACGGAGGGAGCUAGCGUUGUUCGGGAUUACUGGGCGUAAAGCGCGCGUAGGCGGCUUUUCAAGUCAGGGGUGAAAUCCCGGGGCUCAACCCCGGAACUGCCCUUGAAACUGGAUGGCUAGAAUACUGGAGAGGUGAGUGGAAUUCCGAGUGUAGAGGUGAAAUUCGUAGAUAUUCGGAAGAACACCAGUGGCGAAGGCGACUCACUGGACAAUUAUUGACGCUGAGGUGCGAAAGCGUGGGGAGCAAACAGGA